GAUAAAAAUAAAUUCUAUAAAAUUUAUAUUAAUAUGUUACAAUAGUGAUAAUAAUAGCUAACAGUUAUAUAGCACCAACCAUUUGCCAGACACUGUGCCAAGUAUUUUUCACAAAUAUCAUGUCAACUGAUCCUCACCAUAACUCUGUAAGAGAAAAAUACCAUCUUUAUAGACUGUCCACCAAAAUGAUGUCUGCCCUAUGUGUGAGAAAAUUAUCAGAGAGUCCUGGAAAGAUACAAUAACAGAGAAAACAGAGUUUAAUGUCAUCUGGUCAGAUACUAUGUAGAGGAAGGGGAGUAGAGGAGAAGGUUGGACAUUUUCCAAGAACAGAGGAGAAAUCCCAGGGUCUCCUCCUGUAUAUAUUAUAUUCAGGAUACCAUUACCAUAUUUGAAAACCAAAUGGGUUAUCUCCUGGACUCCUUGUCACUUCUCACGUUGGCCAAAGGCCAGGCAGUGCUGGAUUUGUACAGUGGACGUGUUCUGCAGAGCCCUAUUCUCUCUGUCCUCUGAUUUUGAGUACCUGGAUUUACCUCCUCACCACAAGAAAGCACUGGAGGAGAAAUGUAGUGGAAGACCAAAGAAUAUGCCUAAAUUUUUAAAGAAGUCAUUAUGGAAAAUAUAAUUCUGGACUUUAAGACCUUUUUAUACAGUGGUAGCUAUAAUAAGUACAGUGAGAAUUUUUAAAAAACUUAAUAUAUGAUAAUAGAUGUAAUACAACAACAAAAUAGACAAUUACUAUUAUUAGGAUGUUUAGAUAACUUUAGAAUUAA
Molecule: long non-coding RNA, 770 nt
Filed under: Monodelphis domestica (gray short-tailed opossum)
Lineage: Eukaryota; Metazoa; Chordata; Mammalia; Didelphimorphia; Didelphidae
Description: lncRNA (ENSMODG00000030063.2)
Source: RNAcentral